Molecule: ribosomal RNA, 425 nt
Filed under: uncultured bacterium
Lineage: Bacteria
Description: partial 16S ribosomal RNA
Rfam family: Bacterial small subunit ribosomal RNA
Source: RNAcentral
GUGGGGAAUAUUGCGCAAUGGGGGAAACCCUGACGCAGCAACGCCGCGUGAGCGAAGAAGGUUUUCGGAUUGUAAAGCUCUGUCUUUAGGGACGAUAAUGACGGUACCUAAGGAGGAAGCCCCGGCUAACUACGUGCCAGCAGCCGCGGUAAUACGUAGGGGGCAAGCGUUGUCCGGAUUCACUGGGCGUAAAGAGCACGUAGGCGGUUAAUUAAGUCAGGUGUGAAAGUUUUCGGCUCAACCGGAAAAGUGCACUUGAAACUGGAUAACUUGAGUAUCGGAGAGGUAAGCGGAAUUCCUAGUGUAGCGGUGAAAUGCGUAGAGAUUAGGAAGAACACCGGUGGCGAAGGCGGCUUACUGGACGAUAACUGACGCUGAGGUGCGAAAGCGUGGGGAGCGAACAGGAUUAGAAACCCUGGUAGUCC